This 308-nucleotide long non-coding RNA is filed under the name Pan troglodytes (chimpanzee). RNAcentral describes it as "long non-coding RNA NONPTRT012643". The record is from RNAcentral. Lineage: Eukaryota; Metazoa; Chordata; Mammalia; Primates; Hominidae.
AAGGGAUUUCUUCAAGUUGAAAUGAAAGAAUGCUAGAUAGCAACUUAAGUCAUACAAACAUAUAAAAUUCAUCAAUAAAGAUAACUACAUAAAAAUAUAAAAAAUAGUAUUUCAGUUUUAUUUGUAACUACACUUAUGUUCAAGAUUUAAAAUAAAAAAUGCACAAAACAAUUAUAAAGCUGUUAAUGAAUACACAAUACAUAAAGAUGUAAUCUGUGACAUACAUAACAUAAAGCAAGAGGAUAAAUUUAACCAAAGAAGUAAAAUAUUUGUACAAUUAAAAACUAUAAAACAUUGACAAAAGAAAU